AGCAGCCGCGGUAAUUCCAGCUCCAAUAGCGUAUAUUAAAGUUGUUGCAGUUAAAAAGCUCGUAGUUGAAUUUCGGGACCAAUAUGUCGGUCGUGCCUCGGUACGUACUGGCAUCGUUGGUUUCUCCCUUCUGACGAACCAUGAUGUCAUUUAUUUGGUGUCAUGGGGAAUCAGGACUGUUACUUUGAAAAAAUUAGAGUGUUUAAAGCAGGCUCACGCUUGAAUACAUUAGCAUGGAAUAAUGAAAUAGGACGUUUGAUUCUAUUUUGUUGGUUUCUAGGAUCGACGUAAUGAUUAAUAGGGAUAGUUGGGGGCAUUAGUAUUCAAUUGUCAGAGGUGAAAUUCUUGGAUUUAUUGAAGACUAACUACUGCGAAAGCAUUUGCCAAGGAUGUUUUCAUUAAUCAAGAACGAAAGUUAGGGGAUCGAAGACGAUCAGAUACCGUCGUAGUCUUAACCAUAAACUAUGCCGACUAGGAAUCAGACGAUGUUAAUUUUUUAAUGACUCGUUUGGCACCUUAA
Molecule: ribosomal RNA, 520 nt
Filed under: uncultured Glomeraceae
Lineage: Eukaryota; Fungi; Glomeromycota; Glomeromycetes; Glomerales; Glomeraceae
Description: SSU rRNA
Rfam family: Eukaryotic small subunit ribosomal RNA
Source: RNAcentral